Molecule: ribosomal RNA, 253 nt
Filed under: uncultured bacterium
Lineage: Bacteria
Description: partial 16S ribosomal RNA
Rfam family: Bacterial small subunit ribosomal RNA
Source: RNAcentral
UACGUAGGGGGCAAGCGUUGUCCGGAUUUAUUGGGCGUAAAGAGCGUGUAGGCGGUUAGGUAGGUCCGUUGUGAAAACUCGAGGCUCAACCUCGAGACGCCGAUGGAAACCAUCUGACUAGAGUCCGGAAGAGGAGAGUGGAAUUCCUGGUGUAGCGGUGAAAUGCGCAGAUAUCAGGAGGAACACCGAUGGCGAAGGCAGGUCUCUGGGCUGACACUGACGCUCAUGCACGAAAGCGUGGGGAGCAAACAGG